GAGUAACACGUGAGCAACCUGGCUCUAAGAGGUGGACAACAGUUGGAAACGACUGCUAAUACCGCAUAACGUAUCGGGAUGGCAUCUUCCUGAUACCAAAGAUUUUAUCGCUUAGAGAUGGGCUCGCGUCUGAUUAGAUAGUUGGCGGGGUAACGGCCCACCAAGUCGACGAUCCAUAGCCGGCCUGAGAGGGUGGACGGCCACAUUGGGACUGAGACACGGCCCAGACUCCUACGGGAGGCAGCAUG
This 248-nucleotide ribosomal RNA is filed under the name uncultured bacterium. RNAcentral describes it as "partial 16S ribosomal RNA". It matches the Rfam family "Bacterial small subunit ribosomal RNA", at positions 108 to 353 of the family's 1533-position model. The record is from RNAcentral.